This 282-nucleotide ribosomal RNA is filed under the name uncultured eukaryote. RNAcentral describes it as "partial large subunit ribosomal RNA". It matches the Rfam family "Bacterial large subunit ribosomal RNA", at positions 2197 to 2478 of the family's 2925-position model. The record is from RNAcentral.
AUACCACUCUAACAAUGCUAGGAUUCUAACCCUAUGUCGUUAUCCGGCUAGGGGACAGUUUCAGGUGGUCAGUUUGACUGGGGCGGUCGCCUCCUAAAAGGUAACGGAGGCGUGCAAAGGUUCCCUCAGGCUGGUUGGAAAUCAGUCGUAGAGUGUAAAGGCAUAAGGGAGCUUGAUUGUGAGACAUACAAGUCGAACAAAGACGAAAGUCGGCCUUAGUGAUCCGGCGGUACCGAGUGGAAGGGCCGUCGCUCAACGGAUAAAAGUUACUCUAGGGAUAAC